UAUGAUCGGACCUGCAAGGUGUGGGA
This 26-nucleotide non-coding RNA is filed under the name Mus musculus (house mouse). Lineage: Eukaryota; Metazoa; Chordata; Mammalia; Rodentia; Muridae. The record is from RNAcentral.